This 792-nucleotide long non-coding RNA is filed under the name Mus musculus (house mouse). Its description in RNAcentral is "long non-coding RNA chr18:67968191-67968983". The record is from RNAcentral. Lineage: Eukaryota; Metazoa; Chordata; Mammalia; Rodentia; Muridae.
AUAAAUCAACAGCCACCAAAAACAACACCAGGACAAAGUGACUUCUAGGUCUUUGGUCCCAUGAACUCAAGAGAAUGGAAUUUAGAGAGCAGGAAGGUGUGUUUAGGAAGGAAUUUUAUUAUAAGAUUAUAAAUUGGGGCUUGAGAGAAGGGAAGAGAAAGGACUCCUGAAUAGAAGGGGUGGGCCCCAGAGUUUGAGGUACCAUCGAGCUGCUAGCCUAGGGGAGAAGAAGAGAGAAAGGCAUGCCUUUUUUGAGUUGGGGACCAAGGAAGCAGUCACGUUCAGCAUCGGAGGUCUGCAAGCAGCUGCACAGUGGAGCGGGACAGGGGUUAGAAGACUUCAGAGAAUGAGAAAGCCUAGCCUAUCGGGAAAGCGCGCUUAAGCCUUUGGCAGGUGUGAUGGCUAAUCUUGGGUGUCAGCUUGGCACACCUGGGAAGAAGGCACUGAAAUCAGGAACUGCCAUCAUCAGAUUGGCCUGUGACCACGCCUGUGGGGGCGCAUUUUCUUGAUUUCUAAUUAUGUAGGAAGACCCAGCCUACCGAGGGCUGUACCGUCUCUAAGCAGGUGGCCUGGGCUGUAUAAGAGAGUUGGCGGUGAGCCUGGAAGCCAGCCUGGUGCAACAGUGCUCCUUGUGGUCUCAGUUUCAGCUGUAGGGUUCCCUUAGGGAUAGACGGUAACUUGUAAGCCAAAUAAAUAAACCCCUGCCUCCUCCCGCAGCUGGUUUUCCUCAGUGUUUGUUACAGCAACAGAGACUCGAAGUGGGACAUCAGGUGUCUGAAAAGAUAAAAAGGC